This is a long non-coding RNA of Cajanus cajan (pigeon pea), 353 nucleotides long. RefSeq lists it as uncharacterized. The record is from RefSeq and is a predicted model, not a curated record. Lineage: Eukaryota; Viridiplantae; Streptophyta; Magnoliopsida; Fabales; Fabaceae.
UGGUAGAAAAUAUCAUAACUAAUAUUACUAAUAGAACAUUGCGACAAGCUCAUAUUUGUAAACUGUUGCAGGAGAAUGUGCCAUGGCAAUCUGAGACAGUUUCUUCCAUAGCUGAGGCCUUGGUUGAUUCCAAAUCUGCAAAGCAAAGUGUUAUUACUUGGUUGUUGUUGCAAGGAACUAACUCUAUUGGGAAAACAAGUCGGCCGGAAAUCAGCUUAGAUACCGACGACCAAUGGUUGAGGUUGGCAACAUUAAAAACCAAUGGGCUGUGGAAUAUUCUAAGAGCGAGAACUACAUGAUAUUGGACAAACAUUGAUUAUAUGUUACAAUCGAGUUAAUAUCAAAUAACUAAA